This 1118-nucleotide long non-coding RNA is filed under the name Oncorhynchus mykiss (rainbow trout). RNAcentral describes it as "lncRNA (ENSOMYG00000060372.1)". Lineage: Eukaryota; Metazoa; Chordata; Actinopteri; Salmoniformes; Salmonidae. The record is from RNAcentral.
GGUCGCAGUGGUUUUACUCAGACAAUGUGGUGAGGAGAGAAACUUUUGUUGCGGUCUGUCAACUCCACUCCACGGUUCUCAAUUCCGGGGCACACAUCUCCAUUUGUGAUACCACUUUUGCCAGACAAUUCAGUUCCUUUGGUUGACAUUCGGGUCGGGCUACCGUCGGUGCGGACAAGGUAGGGAGCUAUAGCCUAACUACCCUUCAUAUUCUACAAAAUUACAUUAACACAAACACAGUUGUAGAACGUUAUACUCGGUGGCCGGGGUAGGCCACAAAGACCCAACUUUACGCACCAGCCGAGACUGUUUACAAGGCAAAUUAAUUUCCCACCUCAGUCAAUAGUUAUUUUAAUGACACGGUUCUAAUUUGCCGGAAAUUACCAGGCGCCGCAGUGUUCUUAUCUAGUAUGGCUGAAGCCAGAAGAGAAGAGGAGGCGGAGGAGUUGAGGGAUAUACGGAACCGAAAUCAAGCAACAGAUCGAACAGAGAGAAAUAAGUCUGAGGCUCUUCAUUCCAGGUAAGUAAUCCAUAUCAUUUGAAUUACAUAUUGGGCAUUUUCAAUGUGUCUGUCUUGCUCAAUACAGAGAAGGAAACGUGUUAAUAUUGUGAUAAUGUUGCACGGUCCAGUAUAAACACUGGGUUGUUCCAGCUCUACCUAGCCACCUCUGUUGCUCCACGGCUCUGUCAGGACUGCAGUGGCCAGAACACUGUCUCUUUAACAGGCAGCUCUGCUGAGGGAGAGUUGUGAAUGGUGCAGGGUAGCAAACAAUGCGCUGAUCCAUCCUCUUUGACAGACGGUCGGACACUGUGUCCACUGUGUCCGAAGGUCAGAGCUUUUUGAAUGGGGGACCAAACCACACUGACUCAGUUGUUGACGCCCCCAGAGCCAAGUUGGUUACCGUCCAGGGUUAGGGUCAAUUCCAUUUCAGUUCAGUAAACUGACUCCAACCCUGUAACCUUUCUUUCACAACAUGGUUUACCCUACCUAGAUAACUCUUUAAAACUCAGCACCUUUUCAGUGUCUUCCAAUCCAGGGUAUUGACACAGAAGGAGGCUGGUGGGAGGAGCUAUAGGAGGAAGGGCUCAUUGUAACUGCUGGAAUGGAAUAAAUAGAA